CAGCAGCCGCGGUAAUACAGAGGGUGCGAGCGUUAAUCGGAUUUACUGGGCGUAAAGCGUGUGUAGGUUGUUGCUCAAGUCAGUUGUGAAAUCCCUGGGCUCAACCUGGGAACUGCUUCUGAGACUGAACGACUAGAGUACGGUAGAGGGUGGUGGAAUUUCCGGUGUAGCGGUGAAAUGCGUAGAUAUCGGAAGGAACAUCAAUGGCGAAGGCAGCCACCUGGGCCUGUACUGACACUGAGACACGAAAGCGUGGGGAUCAAACAGGAUUAGAUACCCGCGUAGUCCCUGUCUCUUAUAC
RNAcentral lists this ribosomal RNA (301 nucleotides) under uncultured bacterium. RNAcentral describes it as "partial 16S ribosomal RNA". It matches the Rfam family "Bacterial small subunit ribosomal RNA", at positions 509 to 807 of the family's 1533-position model. The record is from RNAcentral.